UUUUUUCUUUGCAGGUGAUGGUAGAGGGCGUCAGAUGCAUGGGGGAAGAGGUGGCAUGCGGCGGCAGCAAAGCUUAAGGUGGCUAGGGUUAGAUUUGGCUGAAAACUUGAGUUUAGGUUGUGGGCCACUUGGGCCACUAGGUUUUUAUUAUUAUUGGGCUGUUAAUUUUUUUAUAUUUUUGAUUUGUUUUGCUGGUAUGGGCCCGGGAAAAAAUGGGCUAUUACAAAAGCU
This 231-nucleotide long non-coding RNA is filed under the name Gossypium raimondii (Peruvian cotton). Its description in RNAcentral is "long non-coding RNA (GRAI_LNC009614)". The record is from RNAcentral. Lineage: Eukaryota; Viridiplantae; Streptophyta; Magnoliopsida; Malvales; Malvaceae.